UCCCUAGUAGCUCAGAUGGUAAAGCAUCUGUCUGCAAUGCAGGAGACUCAGGUUUGAUCCCUGGGUUGGGAA
This 72-nucleotide transfer RNA is filed under the name Bos taurus (domestic cattle). It matches the Rfam family "tRNA". From Rfam's summary of the family: Transfer RNA (tRNA) molecules are approximately 80 nucleotides in length. Their secondary structure includes four short double-helical elements and three loops (D, anti-codon, and T loops). The record is from Rfam by way of RNAcentral. RNAcentral also lists the same sequence under 4 other names. Lineage: Eukaryota; Metazoa; Chordata; Mammalia; Artiodactyla; Bovidae.